AUUUGAGGAAAUGAUUAUUUGAUUGAAGAUAUUUUAUGUAAUAUUGAAUCGUGCAUCCUGUGUAAUCGAUCAUAUUUUGUAAAAUGAGUUGACGUAGAUUUGAUUUUUAUGACGCUUAUCAUGUUCUAAAAAGUAAAAUAGUUGGUUAUGCUAGUGAUGGUGUAAUCAUUUUUCACUAGAUAUUGUUAGUCAUAACUACAAUCUUCUACCGGAGAAUUCUCGAGUUAUAAAGUAGAAAUUUUCGAUUAAUCAAUCUGUUGAAUUGGAUUCCCCAUUUGAAUUGUAGAAUAAUGAUUAAAGGGAGACAUUUAAUGUUGUGGACAUUUUUUAUUACACGUUCAUCUUGACAACGUGCGAAAUUCAUAAGAAAAUAAUUAUCUGGUCGCGCUUCUAUGUUUCAACAGAUAUGUUAUAUUUAAAUUUUGAAUUUUUUGAAUGAUAAUUUCCGAUCCAUAGCAUGUUCUUGUUUUUACGUCAAAUUCCAAAUCUCUAUUGUAAGGUCAUGUUUUUUGAAGCAUGAAAAAAUCGAGCUUCAAGAUUAAAAAGAAAGAAGAAAAUUCGGAAAAUGACUACGUAUUACUCAGCAACACAUAAUUCGCUAAAGAUGUCAUUAGAUUUUUCAAUAGAAUCUCAUACCAUCAAAAAUUUAGAAAAGGAGAAAAAUGAACCAUUGAAAAACUCCCCAGCAUUGUUUGUGUUUGUUCCAAUUGUAGUGAGCACAAAUGAAUAUGAAUAAAUUCGAAGAACACAAGUUAAAAUAUAAAAAAUUUUAGACCAGUUUUUAUAAUAGGAAUGUUCAGAGUAACUAUACUCUGGUGUUUUGCUUCAGAUUCUAUUCGUUUUUGGACUCGUUUUACUCACUGACUACAUCGUUACAAAUUGUCUGAAACCAUUUAAGAAAUCUUUACAAAGUAGUAUAAUUAUAACGCACUAAAGUUAGUUCUGACAAACAUUUGUUCUAUUGUACUUACAUAAAUCUAUUUUUAUUCACUCUAGAGAUAACCAGUUUUAAAAGUUUCAGGCGGUUGUUGCAGAGUUUCGUGUUAAACAAAAUAAGUCCAAGAACAUUGGAGUUUGAUCAAAAACGCUAGAUUCCAAUAAUUUUAAGUGCUUUAAUUAUAAAACCUUGAAUCAAAUUGUAGAUAUUUUAGCUUGUAUUGUUCAAAUUAGUUUAGAUUUAUUUCUUUUACAUGGUAGCGAUGUUUAAUUCGUAUUCACCAUCAUUGUUCCAAAUAAGCUGCGCAAGAUUCUUUUUUCCAGAUUCUGAUCAAUACAUUUUCUUUAUGAAGCUGAUACUACUAGCCAGAGUUAACAGCCAAACUCGUUGAACUUUGUGGAAUUAGAAAAUUGCAGUUCAGUUUUAUCCUCAUAAUUCUAUAAAAGUAUAAGGAUUUGAGGUACUUCACAAAAUUUUGGUUUUUGUAUUUUACUAUCUUAUUCGAGUGAACGUUAGAACAUUUGGCUCGUAAUUCUGGCCUAGCUUCAGCCUUGUAUUUUCUUUUCUGUAAAUUACUGUAUUGCUCUGUAUAUGUGGAGAUUGCUGGUGCUUAUGCACAACUUAUGCAACAGGUGUCUCUCACCUGUAUAUUUGCGAAAUAAUUCCUGACAUGAAAUCUUGGAAGCAGAGAGUAGAACUUGAUUAAGCAAAUCUUCAUGCUUAUGUCUUAUGUCCAUCAGGUUGAAGAACAUUAAAAUCAGUUUUCUGUAACGCAAUUAUGGUUUUUCCAAAACUUUAUUGCUGGCACAUGAAAGAAUAAAGUUUGAGAACAAAAAUAUUUCAGGCUCAUAUUAAAUAUAAAUCAGGUGAAAUGGAAAGCCUGUAAUGUUUGUUGCUGCAAAUUAAUGAUAGCUAGUUUUCAUUUAAUAAUAAACUGAAGAAUCAAAGAAAAAAAAAAAAA
RNAcentral lists this long non-coding RNA (1898 nucleotides) under Neodiprion pinetum (white pine sawfly). RNAcentral describes it as "uncharacterized LOC124215994". Lineage: Eukaryota; Metazoa; Arthropoda; Insecta; Hymenoptera; Diprionidae. The record is from RNAcentral.